GUUCUCUCUUCGCAGACCGGAAACCUCAACACUGACGACAACAGCGACUACACCAUAAGAAAAGCUAGUACUUUCCCAGAAUCACCACUGACUCCGGCGAGUUUGCUAUUGGUUUCAUCCAAACGAAACGACAGAAAGUCUCUCCAAUACGAUAUCGGAGUAGCAAACAUGCAUUCCUUUGGCUACAGAGCUAACGCUUUACUUACUUUCGCCGUUACCAUCCUCGCGCUAAUUUGCGCAAUGGCCUCCCUCUCCGAUAACUUCAAUUCUCCCUCUCCCACUUCCCAAAUCCAGAUAUUGAAUAUCAAU
This 309-nucleotide unclassified non-coding RNA is filed under the name Hevea brasiliensis (rubber tree). Lineage: Eukaryota; Viridiplantae; Streptophyta; Magnoliopsida; Malpighiales; Euphorbiaceae. The record is from RNAcentral.